ACAAAGGUACGAGUGCGCCUGUCAGGACAGGUUUAUUCUGAACAAACCUGAGAGGGACCGCAUGGCACUUAGAGCAGACCAGCGACUCUUGUACAGGCUGUAAGGUCUUUCCUAGGGCCGUGACCAUAAAAGGAAAGGUCGUAUUGGAACUUGCUGGAGGCGGGGUGCUGGGGGAGAAGUUCUUUUGGAAGGGAGCUGCGGCUCCCCGCCAGCCACCGAGCCUGAGAAAGUGCAGGGAGCUGCGCUUGCCUGUCAGGAGCAGGGCUGGAGUUACGGGUGUGUGGUCACCGGCCUUACUAACCCGCGGCUACACCUUGUUAGCAGGUUCACAGCGCAGCGGGUGGGAGAGGCUGACCGAGGUCUCCGGUGAGCCCAGGGUGGGGCGGUCCGACUCCUGCACUGAAGUACGAAGCUUGCGAGAAGAACUAUGAAAGGAUAAUCAAGUAAGGUUCAGGCUGGCCUCAAAUUUGUGGUGAUCUUCCUGCUUCAGCCUCUUCAGCGCUGGAAUUACAGAUUGGGUGAAGAAGAUGUGAGGGCGCUUUGGAACAGCGGGCAUUCUCCAAGAAACAAAGAAAGGGAAGAGUGGCCUCAUGAUAGACUCGGGUGGCCAGACCAUGCCAAGACGUCUAGAGCUGGAGGAACACAAGACAGAGGCCAGUCCUCUCUGGAGCCCCGUCAGAAAGGUUGGAGUGCUGUGAACUACCAUCCUCGGGGUGUGGAUGGGGACUGGGGAGUCUCUUCUUGAGUGUACAGUGCUGAGCAGGAUGUCUUCCCUCUCCCCUUUGGUUUUGGUAAGUCCAGUUUCCCAUUUUCCUGGUGUGUGGGAGCCUUUGCACUAGUUCCUGAAUUCUCACAGAGGGAAUUUGUCCAUGAAUUGUUG
Molecule: long non-coding RNA, 880 nt
Organism: Chinchilla lanigera (long-tailed chinchilla)
Lineage: Eukaryota; Metazoa; Chordata; Mammalia; Rodentia; Chinchillidae
Exons: 3
Source: RefSeq, a predicted model, not a curated record